This 332-nucleotide ribosomal RNA is filed under the name uncultured bacterium. Its description in RNAcentral is "bacterial SSU rRNA". It matches the Rfam family "Bacterial small subunit ribosomal RNA", at positions 568 to 898 of the family's 1533-position model. The record is from RNAcentral.
CGCGUAGGCGGGUCGCCAAGUCCGCUGUGAAAGCCCGGGGCUCAACCCCGGAGGGUCGGUGGAUACUGGCGGUCUUGAAGGUGCUAGGGGGAGAUGGAAUUACCGGUGUAGCGGUGAAAUGCGUAGAUAUCGGUAGGAACACCAGUGGCGAAGGCGGUCUCCUGGGGCACUCUUGACGCUGAGGCGCGAAAGCUGGGGGAGCGAACGGGAUUAGAUACCCCGGUAGUCCCAGCCCUAAACGAUGGAUACUAGGUGUCAGGGGUAUCGACCCCCCUGGUGCCGCAGCUAACGCAGUAAGUAUCCCGCCUGGGGAGUACGGCCGCAAGGUUGAA